AAUCAACGCUGGCGGCGUGCCUCAGACAUGCAAGUCGAACGAUUAAAGCUCUCUUCGGAGAGUGUAUAGAGUGGCGCACCGGGUGAGUAACACGUAAGUAAUCUACCUUCGAGUGGGAAUACCGUCCGGAACGGACGCUAAUACCGCAUAAUAGCUAGCGGCAUCGUAAGACUGACAGUUGUUAAAGAUUUUAUCGCUUGAAGAGGAGCUUGCGGCAGAUUAGCUAGUUGGUAAGGUAAUGGCUUACCAAGGCUACGAUCUGUAACCGGUC
Molecule: ribosomal RNA, 271 nt
Filed under: uncultured bacterium
Lineage: Bacteria
Description: partial 16S ribosomal RNA
Rfam family: Bacterial small subunit ribosomal RNA
Source: RNAcentral